Molecule: ribosomal RNA, 253 nt
Filed under: uncultured bacterium
Lineage: Bacteria
Description: partial 16S ribosomal RNA
Rfam family: Bacterial small subunit ribosomal RNA
Source: RNAcentral
UACGUAGGGUGCGAGCGUUAAUCGGCCUUACUGGUCGUAAAGCGUGCGCAGGCGGUUAUGUAAGACAGAGGUGAAAUCCCCGGGCUCAACCUGGGAACUGCCUUUGUGACUGCAUGACUAGAGUACGGCAGAGGGGGAUGGAAUUCCGCGUGUAGCAGUGAAAUGCGUAGAUAUGCGGAGGAACACCGAUGGCGAAGGCAAUCCCCUGGGCCUGUACUGACGCUCAUGCACGAAAGCGUGGGGAGCAAACAGG